AUGGACUUCAAGUUAGGGUUAAAACCAAAGAAAAAGUCUGUAAGGGUUAGAGUCAGGGCAGAGCCUGAUGUUUCCUCCUCAGAUGAGGAAGAAGCAACUGUAACCCAGGAACAGAAUCAGCAGACAGAAGGUUUAAUUCAAGAGCCACUAUGUGUGUAUCAGCAUGAGAUAAUUACUAUUUUAACACAGGAGAGAGAAGCAAGCCAGAGGGAAGCAAGCCAGAGGGAAGCAGUUCGUCAAGGUCCAUUACCAAAUUCCGUUUUCAUAGAGGAGCACAUCAUGUCUCAGCCACCGGUUGUCCCUACUACUGCAACGAAGGAGGGCAACGUUCACAGGAAAAGAGAGAUUCUAGCACUGGCAAAGUUAAGAGCUGCAGCUGAGAAAAGAGAAGUUGCAGACCAAGCAAAAUUUGAAGCAGCUAUGGAAAAGUUGAAAGAAGAAGAGGACAAAAUAAAGCUUGCGGCUCAAAAGAGAAAGGAAGAGUUGGAAGCUAAGAAACAAGCAGCUGAGGAAAAGAAAAAAGCUAUACUAGAGGAGAAGAGACUUGCUGCAGAAGAAAAGAGAAGAGCUAUUGAGGAAAAAAAGAGAAAGGCCCAAGAGGAGAAACUUCAAAUGGCAGAGAAUAAAAGGCAAAUGAUGGAUGAGAGAAAAAGAAAUGCCGAGUUAGCAAAGGAAAAAAAGGCCGAAGAGAAGAGAAGGAUUGCACAGGAGAAAAAAAUGCUUGCAAAUACAUCACACCAGCAGGAGGAGGCAGCUUUUCUAAUACAUCAAGCAGAGGAGUUUGAGAGGCAGGAGGGUUGGAGAAUUUUUAAAGAGACUGAGGAAGUUGCUAGGCAAAAAGCUUGGGAGCAGCAGAAUAAUCAGCAAGGCACAUCAAGGAAUGAAGAAUGGGAGCUGCAAAAGAGGAGAGCUGAAGAAACAAACAAGAAAGCCAUGGAGGACCAAAUGGUCGAUCAAGCAAUGAAGCAUGUCAUGCUGGAGGAACAAUUGCAAGAACGAGCUGCAGCAACUAGUUCAAGAGUUGAGGAGGCAAGGUUUAAUCCAUGCCCAGUUGAAGGAAACAAGACAAAGAAAAAAUCUGCACCUACCAAUCAGAACAUGACAUGUUUUAAGAAACCUAGAAAGGUUAACAUGUUCGAUGAAUUUAGGUGA
This 1152-nucleotide ribosomal RNA is filed under the name Triticum aestivum (bread wheat). RNAcentral describes it as "partial small subunit ribosomal RNA". Lineage: Eukaryota; Viridiplantae; Streptophyta; Magnoliopsida; Poales; Poaceae. The record is from RNAcentral.